This 498-nucleotide unclassified non-coding RNA is filed under the name uncultured Glomus. RNAcentral describes it as "SSU rRNA". It matches the Rfam family "Eukaryotic small subunit ribosomal RNA", at positions 591 to 1092 of the family's 1831-position model. The record is from RNAcentral. Lineage: Eukaryota; Fungi; Glomeromycota; Glomeromycetes; Glomerales; Glomeraceae.
CCAAUAGCGUAUAUUAAAGUUGUUGCAGUUAAAAAGCUCGUAGUUGAAUUUCGGGAUCAGUACGUUGGUCAUGCCUUGGUAUGUACUGGUGUAACUGAUUCCUCCCUUCUGACGAACCGUCAUGCCAUUCACUUGGUGUGGCGGGAAAUCAGGACUGUUACUUUGAAAAAAUUAGAGUGUUUAAAGCAGGCUCGCGCUUGAAUACAUUAGCUUGGAAUAAUGAAAUAGGACGUUAAUCCUAUUUUGUUGGUGUCUAGGAUCGACGUAAUGAUUAAUAGGGAUAGUUGGGGGCAUUAGUAUUCAAUUGUCAGAGGUGAAAUUCUUGGAUUUAUUGAAGACUAACUACUGCGAAAGCAUUGGCCAAGGAUGUUUUCAUUAAUCAAGAACGAAAGUUAGGGGAUCGAAGACGAUCAGAUACCGUCGUAGUCUUAACCAUAAACUAUGCCGACUAGGGAUCGGAUGAUGUUAAUUUUUUAAUGACUCAUUCGGCGCCUUACG